Molecule: long non-coding RNA, 2409 nt
Organism: Dalotia coriaria
Lineage: Eukaryota; Metazoa; Arthropoda; Insecta; Coleoptera; Staphylinidae
Exons: 5
Source: RefSeq, a predicted model, not a curated record
UCCGGAGAAGCUAAUUAAUGAGCAGGAUGUGCUCAGAUAUAUUUUUGGUUGUUGAAACAAUCCAAUAGGCAAUUUAGCUCCAGCUGAUUGUCAAUUACGGUAAAUCUCGUAGAUAAUUUAUUCGUGAGCAACUUCUUUGGAGCAAGCCAUCAUUACGAAGAUACCAUCCCGUUCUGUUCUCGGCCGGAUUGUCCUUACUGAUCUGCGCAUAUGGUCAAGCGUAUGAUACUCCGUUGUACGUGUUGGGUCACAUAUAGAUUUAUGGUGCCGAAAUAGCGACUACGAAUUGUCCACUGUCUCCAAGAGAUCGUUGUCAUAAAAUGUACCUCAAUUUGACAUGAAAGUUUGGUUCGCCCAAUAUCGUCUCUGUGUUUGUCUCGUGUAUCUAUACUUCGUGAUCUCACUAAAACUCGAAAACUGAUUUGGCUAAUUUUAGUUUCGAAAAAACAAAAGAAUUUAGAAGAUGGUUGAAUACACAUCAUAUAGAUAUGUUCUGUAAAUACCGAUAAGAACACACAACACACUUUAGUAAAAUUGAUGUAGAGACAGACGGCAGUGAUAAAUUGCCGAACAGGCGUUUAAAAAGUGGUAGCAGUUGUGUGGUAACUUUCAAACAUUCAAAUAUCACCGUUAAAAUGAGUUUUAUCAGACAUGAAUUACCUAUUGCCACGAGAGAUCGGUCCUUAGAAUGUCAACAGAAUUUAGACUUUAAACACCCGGAUGAGAGUUGUUUCGGGGUUAAUUGAGGCUAUUCGUCGGGAAACCAGAAGGGGGUCUUAAAAAUAUUAAAACCAUAGUCAAACGAAAUAAAAGAUGAAUAUCUUUCGCUGAGUGGGAAAUAUUUAUUGGGGCAAAAUAUUCCAAUUACUUAUAACAUCAGCGAGUUCAUUGCUGAAAAACAACCCAGAUUGAAUGGAAAUUUUAAAUGGUUCACGGAAAAUUAUUCGACACUAACUGGCCGACAACUCAGAAACCAUCUUGCACAUGGAGAUCCAAUUGUGGAAUUAAUGGACGUGGAUAUAAAAACGGCAGCCAGACACACAGCUAUAAUGCUGAUUAAAGAACUGCAAGUUGAGAGCAGAGAUAAGAUCGAAAAGAUAACAAAAAUGCCCGCAAUUGAUGUGAUGGAGAAUAUUGACUAUUGUCAAAUAACAAAUUUUAACAAAGAAAAGAAAAUGUUUGAUAUUACUACUGAAGGUGACGUGCUCGUAUUUAGAGACUACUCAGAAACUAUUAGCUCAGAAUGGGUGAACUGGCAAGAUUUCAAUAAGAAGAAUGCAUUUCAAUGUGCGGCAGAAAACCAGAAUGAUUAUCUAGUGUUAUUAGAAUUUAUUCAGAAUAAAAAUCCAAACUAUAUUAAACAAUUAAAGACAGACUAUAAUUUACUAUUUCAAGUUGUAGAUCAAAACAAUUUUAAAAUAGCAAAACGCAUUACCGAAUUGUAUUUUUGUGAAUUGCUAGGGAUCAACAGAAAACAAUUGCAACCCAAUGAUAAUAAUCAUUUAUUGGGAUUGUGUGGCCAAUUAAUAAAAAUUGUAUUGGAUAUCAUUAAUUACAUCGAAUUUGAAGACCUGCACAAGCAUAUACCUAUCAAUAGUAUGAUUGCUUCAUUGUAUCAUAUAGCGAACAUAUGUGAAGCAAAAAAAAUGACGAAAUAUCUUAUCAGCAUUGGAAAGAACUUCAAAUUCAAAAAUACAUGUAAUAGACCAGUGUUAACAGUGGACCAAGAAAUUGAGUUCAACUUGGCAAAACUUAAUAACAACAAGAAUAAAAUAUUUAUAUAGAAUUAUGGAAGAUUAUAUAAAGUGGACAGUAGAUAAAUUAAAAGAUUAUAUAAAAAAUGCAUCAUAUAUGUUGGAACCAAGUUUUUUCAAAUAUGAUUUGAAUUGCUUGUGUUUUGCUGUCAAAAGUAACAACCCCGAAAUGGUUAAACAAGUGUAUCAAUGCCUUUCAGUAUUGUUACAUACAAAGGAUCAUAAUGGCAAAACACCUUUAGAAGAUGUUGCCGCCAAGGGGAAUCGUGUGGAGGAAUUUUAUGUUUUAAUAAAACAGGCUAUCAAUAAUUCUUCAAAACAUUCACAAAUGUUUAAGACCGUGGUCAAUAAAAUUAUUAAUUUGCGUGAGUCAUAUUUUUGGAGAUAACAAAGGCGUGGCCCAAUAAUGAGCAGUGUAUUACUGUCUACCUAGAAAUGAGUGAACAUGUCUAAUGCAUUUUUUCUAGUAAAUUGGCGCAAAGCAUUUUAGGGUACUGCUAAGUCCAAUGAGCACUUAAUUAACAUCUGGGCACAAACAGUGAUUUACACCAUUUCAGUUUCCUGAUAAGUCGCACGUUUUCAAAGAGUGCAUAUGGUUUGUUAUAGACAUGUUUGACAUGUUUGACCAAAAAUUGACUGCCCAACCGUAAUAUAA